ACAUGAAGCUGGAGUUGCUAGUAAUCGCGAAUCAGCAUGUCGCGGUGAAUACGUUCCCGGGCCUUGUACACACCGCCGUCACACCAUGGGAGUUUGUAACGCCCAAAGUCGGUGGCCUAACCUUUAUGGAGGGAGCCGCCUAAGGCGGGACAGAUGACUGGGGUGAAGUCGUAACAAGGUACC
Molecule: ribosomal RNA, 183 nt
Filed under: uncultured bacterium
Lineage: Bacteria
Description: partial 16S ribosomal RNA
Rfam family: Bacterial small subunit ribosomal RNA
Source: RNAcentral